AUGGGGGAGAUGAGUUCGGAGUCGGACAUUGCUUCAGAUAAUUCCAUAUUUGCAGGCGAUAUUGCCUCUGAUGUCAAUGAUGCUGCAUUGCUGGAGACUUUCUCUAGCAGGUACUCCUCUGUCAAAGAUACAAAAGUUGUUAUUGAUGCUAACACUGGUAGAUCAAAGGGCUAUGGAUUUGUGCUUUAUCACGCAUCUGGACUUGUUUCCCUUCUUAAUUUGUUUGGGAGGGAGAUUCAUUCAGAAUAUAGUUCACACUUUGCAGUAUUUAUGUACAAAACUGUUUUUGCUCUGCAUUCAUUCCUUGCUGCUUUUAUGCACUACCUUUUUGGAAAAUGGGUUUGUAUUGGUGACAAAUGA
RNAcentral lists this ribosomal RNA (360 nucleotides) under Triticum aestivum (bread wheat). RNAcentral's name for it is "partial small subunit ribosomal RNA". The record is from RNAcentral. Lineage: Eukaryota; Viridiplantae; Streptophyta; Magnoliopsida; Poales; Poaceae.